CCCCCUUGCUGCGGCUACCAUGCAAGUCGAACGGUAACAGGAAGCAGCUUGCUGCUUCGCUGACGAGUGGCGGACGGGUGAGUAAUGUCUGGGAAACUGCCUGAUGGAGGGGGAUAACUACUGGAAACGGUAGCUAAUACCGCAUAACGUCGCAAGACCAAAGAGGGGGACCUUCGGGCCUCUUGCCAUCGGAUGUGCCCAGAUGGGAUUAGCUAGUAGGUGGGGUAACGGCUCACCUAGGCGACGAUCCCUAGCUGGUCUGAGAGGAUGACCAGCCACACUGGAACUGAGACACGGUCCAGACUCCUACGGGAGGCAGCAGUGGGGAAUAUUGCACAAUGGGCGCAAGCCUGAUGCAGCCAUGCCGCGUGUAUGAAGAAGGCCUUCGGGUUGUAAAGUACUUUCAGCGGGGAGGAAGGCGAUAAGGUUAAUAACCUUGUCGAUUGACGUUACCCGCAGAAGAAGCACCGGCUAACUCCGUGCCAGCAGCCGCGGUAAUACGGAGGGUGCAAGCGUUAAUCGGAAUUACUGGGCGUAAAGCGCACGCAGGCGGUCUGUCAAGUCGGAUGUGAAAUCCCCGGGCUCAACCUGGGAACUGCAUUCGAAACUGGCAGGCUAGAGUCUUGUAGAGGGGGGUAGAAUUCCAGGUGUAGCGGUGAAAUGCGUAGAGAUCUGGAGGAAUACCGGUGGCGAAGGCGGCCCCCUGGACAAAGACUGACGCUCAGGUGCGAAAGCGUGGGGAGCACACAGGAUUAGAUACCCUGGUAGUCCACGCCGUAAACGAUGUCGACUUGGAGGUU
Molecule: ribosomal RNA, 800 nt
Filed under: Enterobacter hormaechei
Lineage: Bacteria; Pseudomonadati; Pseudomonadota; Gammaproteobacteria; Enterobacterales; Enterobacteriaceae
Description: bacterial SSU rRNA
Rfam family: Bacterial small subunit ribosomal RNA
Source: RNAcentral